AUAUUACAAAGCAUUUUCCAAGACCCUCUGACUUGUUCUGCAAGGCACUGAUAUCAAAUGGACAAAAGCCCACUCACAACAGGCCCAAUCCACAGGCGGCCCAAAAUAACUGGCUCGCUAGGCGAGCAGCUCCUUCGCCUAGCGAACAUUGCCUCAUGCCACUCGCCCAGCGAAGAGUUGGACCCAGGAAAAAGCCCAGACCUAGUUUGCUCGCUAGGCGAGCAAUUCCUUCGCCUAGCGAAGCUCGCGAAAGUUUGAAGUUUUGGACCUCAUUCUAAGCCCAUUAGGUCACCACUACCACUACUAUAAAUACCUA
RNAcentral lists this long non-coding RNA (316 nucleotides) under Lathyrus oleraceus (garden pea). RNAcentral describes it as "Pisum sativum (pea) long non-coding RNA (PSAT_LNC002973)". Lineage: Eukaryota; Viridiplantae; Streptophyta; Magnoliopsida; Fabales; Fabaceae. The record is from RNAcentral.